Non-coding RNA from Macaca mulatta (Rhesus monkey), 1285 nucleotides. The record is from RefSeq and is a predicted model, not a curated record. Lineage: Eukaryota; Metazoa; Chordata; Mammalia; Primates; Cercopithecidae.
CGCCCCUCCCAUCCGCGGGCCAGCCCCGCGAAGGCGGGCCGAAGGGAAGGGGCGGGCUUGUUUACGGCCCGACUGCGCAGGCGUGCUCACCUGGCGUGCUCCACCCGGCUGGGCGUCCGCAGGCUCCUCCCCCGGGCGUGGCCUCCGGGCGGCCCGGCUGCUUCCCAGGUGAUGUUGGUUCCAGCCGGUGGGGUCUAGUUGACGGUUCCGCAGCCACUAGGACCAACGGAAAGCCGAUCAUGGGGAACCGCGGCGGGGCUGGUGUCAGGAGCCUGAGGUGAACUUGAGGGUGCUUCCUCAGCGGUCUCCCCCCCUGCCCUGAGGGGCGCCGGGACCCCAAAGAGCGGAGGAAGAGCGCCACCCCGACUGCCACCGCUUCGGGGCCAGCACGCGGGGUACCCUACAGGGAGCGCGGAUGCCCCUGUGUUCGGGCGGGGACGGCUCCACCCCUCCUGGGCCCUCCCUUCGGGACGGGGACUGUCCCGCCCAGAGAGAGUGCUGACUACCCGCGCGACCGUCUUGAUCCCCGGUCAGGAAGCAAGCCCCUUGGAAGCCUCCUCGCCGCCGUUUCUGAGAAGGCCCUCUAGCCCAGUCCAAGAGCACCUGGCCACCUGGAGAAGCACUGCUGGACUGGGGGAAUUAGGCCAUACAGCAUCUACAGAGAAGCCCAGCUCCUUACUGGGACCCUGGUCCACUUCCCAAGUUGACCUUCCUGCAAGAAGAGAACAUAUCACGUAUUUUAAUACAUUUGACAGUCACAGGGGAAGUCUAAGGAAGCCAGGGCCUGCCUGCUUGUGGCCUGUCCAAGUUCAUCCUCUGCCACCCUAUCUCUGUUAUGUUUGGUUUGGAAGUCCAGAAGAUUGUGUUUAUGUUCCCAGCAGGGCACCCGUUCACUGGUACCAAGAAAAAGCCCAAGUGUUUCCCUGGCAUCAGGUGGUGUCUGGAUCCACCACUCCACACUGUCUCUGGAAACAGCCCUUCCACGUCUCUGCAUUCCCUGUUACUGUGUUGCUGGCCUUCGGACGGAGCCAAGGUGCAUGGCAACACCUCUAUGAGGGUCUGUAGCCAUUUAUAUUGCUUAGGCUACUGCCACAGGACAAAAGAAUGGAAGAGGAGAAAGCAGCAGGAGAGAGAAGUGAACCAAAUUUUGAAUGCUGGGAGCAGAUGGACAGGUGGUGACUGACCUUCCCUCAAGCAUCUCUGGAGCCACAGCCCCUAGCCGGCCAUGUCCAGCAUGUGGUAAUUUAUUGAACAAGAAUGGGAGGUACUAAAAUACUGACUAGAA